CCAGAACGAGAGGCAGAUGGCUCUGAUGGUGGAGCCAGGGGUCUGCUCAUCCGUGGUCGGCGUGGAGGCCCCCUGGGAGGGGCUGAGGGCCGGCGUGGAGGCCCCCUGGGAGGGCCUGAGAGAGGAGCUACAAUCCGGAUCAGAGAUGCCAGUGCCCCAGCCAAGGGUCUCCAGGAAAGUGACGGCCUCAGAGUCCCCAAAACACAUCCCCGCCGAGUCCAUUGGGGGGGGGCCCUGAAACCCCCUGCCGGGUCAUCCAAAGAGAGCAGAGCCACCAGCCG
Molecule: long non-coding RNA, 281 nt
Filed under: Equus asinus (donkey)
Lineage: Eukaryota; Metazoa; Chordata; Mammalia; Perissodactyla; Equidae
Description: lncRNA (ENSEASG00005023844.1)
Source: RNAcentral